AGAGUUUGAUUCUGGCUCAGAAUGAACGCUGGCGGCGUGCCUAACACAUGCAAGUCGCACGAGAAAGGCUGGGUUUCGGCUUGGCCGAGUAAAGUGGCGCACGGGUGAGUAACGCGUGGGUGACCUACCCUCGAAUCUGGGAUAACCUCGCGAAAGCGGGGCUAAUACCGGAUACGUCCCUUCGGGGAGAAAGCCGGCCUCUCGAAGAAGCUGGUGUUCGGGGAUGGGCCCGCGUCCUAUCAGCUAGUUGGUAGGGUAACGGCCUACCAAGGCGACGACGGGUAGCUGGUCUGAGAGGAUGAUCAGCCACACUGGCACUGGAACACGGGCCAGACUCCUACGGGAGGCAGCAGUGAGGAAUUUUGCGCAAUGGGAGCAAUCCUGACGCAGCAACGCCGCGUGGGUGAAGAAGGCCUUCGGGUCGUAAAGCCCUGUCAGGAGGGAAGAACCUCGCUGGGGCGAAUAGCCUUGGCGACUGACGGUACCUCCAGAGGAAGCACCGGCUAACUCCGUGCCAGCAGCCGCGGUAAUACGGAGGGUGCGAGCGUUAUUCGGAAUUACUGGGCGUAAAGCGCGUGUAGGCGGCAGGGCAAGUCUGGUGUGAAAGCCCGGGGCUCAACCCCGGAAGUGCAUUGGAAACUGCUCUGCUUGAGUACCGGAGAGGAAGGGGGAAUUCCUGGUGUAGCGGUGAAAUGCGUAGAUAUCGGGAGGAAUACCAGUGGCGAAGGCGCCCUUCUGGACGGUUACUGACGCUGAGA
Molecule: ribosomal RNA, 758 nt
Filed under: bacterium enrichment culture clone Dan60S_12E
Lineage: Bacteria
Description: bacterial SSU rRNA
Rfam family: Bacterial small subunit ribosomal RNA
Source: RNAcentral